ACUGACGCUGUUUUAUUCGCGCGUCCGUGUACUGUCGGUCGCCAUUUUGUGCAAGGUUAGGAGCGAAUGUAUUUAGGUAGUAUUUAAGAGGAUUAAUAUUUAUUACAAGUUGAGUUAUGACCUGUUUUAUUUAAAUUUUAUUUAUAAAUACUAAAAUAAGAAAGUAUCAAUCUAAAUAUAUACUAUGGACUGUCCAAAUCGUGGAUUUCGCGGUGGACGCGGUGGGCCACCCGGAGGCCCUCGCGGGCGAGGAAACUUUGAUAUGAGAGGACGAGGCGGACCUGGAAUGAGGGGCAGAGGUGGACCGCCGCGUGGUGGUGGUCCACCACUACGGGGUGGUCCUCGACCGUUUCGCGGUGGACCGAUGCGUGGAGGUGGUGGUGAGAGAGGUGGUCGAUUUCCGCCCGGUCCACAAGGUCCUGGCCCACAUCCAGUACCGACCAUUGAAAGUAGGGGACCUCCACAAACAGGUGGGUUCGUCAAUAACAGAGGAGGCCCUGGAGGGAUGAGAGGACGUGGCGGUAGAGGAAGAGGGGACUUUGGUCCUCGUGGAGACAGGGGUGUUGGGCGUGGAGGCCCUUACAUGAGAGGCAGAGGAGGACGCGGGGGACAUGGCCCACCAGGAGGGCCACCAACAGGCCCUCAUGGAGCCCCACAUGAUCCCAGUGGGCCCUUACCUAGGCCUGCACCUCAAGGACUUUCACCUCCUCAAAUUGCAUACAAGAGAGGUGGUGGACCUCCUCAUGGUGGCCCUGGGGUACCACCAAAGCGUGGAAGGUUUGAGGGUCCACGCGGCGGUGGAGGUGGGGGAAGACCGCCGGCAUCUGGUGGAUACCAACAAGCACCAGUACACAAUCCUGUACCACAACCAAAUGGAUAUGGACCACCAGCACACACAGGCUACCAACCAUAUGAGCAACCAGCGGCAGAUCCCUAUGCAGCGACCUCAUACAAUACGUCUAGUUCCUAUCAAGGUGGUAGCUAUUCAUCACCAGCCCCUGCCCCUGCAAGCACUGGUUAUAAUUCUGGUGGUUAUGGGUCAAAUUAUGGCUAUUCUACGGGACAAGGGGGCUAUGAAAAUGAUGGCUAUGGCAGUGCGGGAGGCGCCGGCGACGCGGGCUACGGGCCGAGCGAGCCGGCGUACGGAGGCGCCGCGCCCGCAUACGACUCAUACGCGCAGCCCUCCUACAACACCUACCAGCAGCCGCAGACACAGUACAACGCUAGCUAUGAAUUUGGUUGAAAAUCAUGACAAAAAUGGUCUUAAUAAAACAAGAAUUGAAUGAAAUAAAACAUCAACUACUCAAAACAGUCGAGAGCAGGGAGAGCAUCGUAUUUCGGUUUCGCAACGAUGCGGCGCGUAAGCUUUAUCGAGAGUAGCAUAUAUGUGAAUUGUGGAAUUCAAAAUUAUUGUUAUUGUAUUAGUGAUAACAAAAUAAAAGAACAUUAAGUAAAUAA
RNAcentral lists this unclassified non-coding RNA (1458 nucleotides) under Zerene cesonia (dogface butterfly). RNAcentral's name for it is "spidroin-2-like, transcript variant X2". The record is from RNAcentral. Lineage: Eukaryota; Metazoa; Arthropoda; Insecta; Lepidoptera; Pieridae.